Small nucleolar RNA from Cavia porcellus (domestic guinea pig), 74 nucleotides. NCBI's taxonomy places the organism in Eukaryota, Metazoa, Chordata, Mammalia, Rodentia, Caviidae. The record is from Rfam.
UGCGUAUGAUGACACCUCCUAAUGCUGAAGACUCUCUACUAUGCAGUAAGUCCACACUGGGGAGCUGAGCUGCC